UUGAAGAGUUUGAUCAUGGCUCAGAUUGAACGCUGGCGGCAGGCCUAACACAUGCAAGUCGAACGGUAACAGGAAGCAGCUUGCUGCUUUGCUGACGAGUGGCGGACGGGUGAGUAAUGUCUGGGAAACUGCCCGAUGGAGGGGGAUAACUACUGGAAACGGUAGCUAAUACCGCAUAACGUCGCAAGACCAAAGAGGGGGACCUUAGGGCCUCUUGCCAUCGGAUGUGCCCAGAUGGGAUUAGCUAGUAGGUGGGGUAAUGGCUCACCUAGGCGACGAUCCCUAGCUGGUCUGAGAGGAUGACCAGCCACACUGGAACUGAGACACGGUCCAGACUCCUACGGGAGGCAGCAGUGGGGAAUAUUGCACAAUGGGCGCAAGCCUGAUGCAGCCAUGCCGCGUGUAUGAAGAAGGCCUUCGGGUUGUAAAGUACUUUCAGCGGGGAGGAAGGGAGUAAAGUUAAUACCUUUGCUCAUUGACGUUACCCGCAGAAGAAGCACCGGCUAACUCCGUGCCAGCAGCCGCGGUAAUACGGAGGGUGCAAGCGUUAAUCGGAAUUACUGGGCGUAAAGCGCACGCAGGCGGUUUGUUAAGUCAGAUGUGAAAUCCCCGGGCUCAACCUGGGAACUGCAUCUGAUACUGGCAAGCUUGAGUCUCGUAGAGGGGGGUAGAAUUCCAGGUGUAGCGGUGAAAUGCGUAGAGAUCUGGAGGAAUACCGGUGGCGAAGGCGGCCCCCUGGACGAAGACUGACGCUCAGGUGCGAAAGCGUGGGGAGCAAACAGGAUUAGAUACCCUGGUAGUCCACGCCGUAAACGAUGUCGACUUGGAGGUUGUGCCCUUGAGGCGUGGCUUCCGGAGCUAACGCGUUAAGUCGACCGCCUGGGGAGUACGGCCGCAAGGUUAAAACUCAAAUGAAUUGACGGGGGCCCGCACAAGCGGUGGAGCAUGUGGUUUAAUUCGAUGCAACGCGAAGAACCUUACCUGGUCUUGACAUCCACGGAAGUUUUCAGAGAUGAGAAUGUGCCUUCGGGAACCGUGAGACAGGUGCUGCAUGGCUGUCGUCAGCUCGUGUUGUGAAAUGUUGGGUUAAGUCCCGCAACGAGCGCAACCCUUAUCCUUUGUUGCCAGCGGUCCGGCCGGGAACUCAAAGGAGACUGCCAGUGAUAAACUGGAGGAAGGUGGGGAUGACGUCAAGUCAUCAUGGCCCUUACGACGGGGCUACACGUGCUACAAUGGCGCAUACAAAGAGAAGCGACCUCGCGAGAGCAAGCGGACCUCAUAAAGUGCGUCGUAGUCCGGAUUGGAGUCUGCAACUCGACUCCAUGAAGUCGGAAUCGCUAGUAAUCGUGGAUCAGAAUGCCACGGUGAAUACGUUCCCGGGCCUUGUACACACCGCCCGUCACACCAUGGGAGUGGGUUGCAAAAGAAGUAGGUAGCUUAACCUUCGGGAGGGCGCUUACCACUUUGUGAUUCAUGACUGGGGUGAAGUCGUAACAAGGUAACCGUAGGGGAACCUGCGGUUGGAUCACCUCCUU
RNAcentral lists this ribosomal RNA (1535 nucleotides) under Escherichia coli. RNAcentral describes it as "bacterial SSU rRNA". It matches the Rfam family "Bacterial small subunit ribosomal RNA". The record is from RNAcentral. Lineage: Bacteria; Pseudomonadati; Pseudomonadota; Gammaproteobacteria; Enterobacterales; Enterobacteriaceae.